AGGCUUUUUAAAACCAUUUAACAAAAAAACAAACAAACAAACAAAAAAACCAAACCAAACCAAACCUUCUCCUCUUGCAGCAUAGGACCUGAGAUUUGUCUCCCCACCUGAAGAACCAAAGGAGGAGAGCGAUUUCCUGGGACUUCAGCUGGUGCCCUGCAACCUGCCAACCCUGCCUUGGAAGAGAAGGAAGAAGUCUUUCCUCUUCAUGGAGAAACAGGACCUUAAUAAACCACGGUAAAGUAAGUAUUGCAGCUGUAGAAAUCUGUAUGUAAUACAACACAAUGUUUGCAUGUUCAAAAGACCGGACACUUUCCACAUGACGUAAUGAUGAUGUCAAAGGGAGGAGGAUAAAGAUUAUAACACAGAUGAGGUAUAAAUCAUAAAUAACCAGGUUUAAAAUGUGGAUUU
RNAcentral lists this long non-coding RNA (411 nucleotides) under Pogona vitticeps (central bearded dragon). Its description in RNAcentral is "lncRNA (ENSPVIG00000018495.1)". Lineage: Eukaryota; Metazoa; Chordata; Lepidosauria; Squamata; Agamidae. The record is from RNAcentral.